RNAcentral lists this ribosomal RNA (429 nucleotides) under Chloroflexota bacterium. RNAcentral's name for it is "Chloroflexi bacterium partial 16S ribosomal RNA". It matches the Rfam family "Bacterial small subunit ribosomal RNA", at positions 355 to 776 of the family's 1533-position model. The record is from RNAcentral. Lineage: Bacteria; Bacillati; Chloroflexota.
UGGGGAAUAUUGCACAAUGGGCGCAAGCCUGAUGCAGCCAUGCCGCGUGUGUGAAGAAGGCCUUCGGGUUGUAAAGCACUUUCAGCGGGGAGGAAGGCGAUAAGGUUAAUAACCUUGUCGAUUGACGUUACCCGCAGAAGAAGCACCGGCUAACUCCGUGCCAGCAGCCGCGGUAAUACGGAGGGUGCAAGCGUUAAUCGGAAUUACUGGGCGUAAAGCGCACGCAGGCGGUCUGUCAAGUCGGAUGUGAAAUCCCCGGGCUCAACCUGGGAACUGCAUUCGAAACUGGCAGGCUUGAGUCUUGUAGAGGGGGGUAGAAUUCCAGGUGUAGCGGUGAAAUGCGUAGAGAUCUGGCGGAAUACCGGUGGCGAAGGCGGCCCCCUGGACGAAGACUGACGCUCAGGUGCGAAAGCGUGGGGAGCAAACAGG